RNAcentral lists this ribosomal RNA (497 nucleotides) under uncultured bacterium. RNAcentral describes it as "partial 16S ribosomal RNA". It matches the Rfam family "Bacterial small subunit ribosomal RNA", at positions 28 to 507 of the family's 1533-position model. The record is from RNAcentral.
GAUGAACGCUGACGGCGUGCCUAAUACAUGCAAGUCGAGCGAACGGACGAGAAGCUUGCUUCUCUGAUGUUAGCGGCGGACGGGUGAGUAACACGUGGAUAACCUACCUAUAAGACUUGGAUAACUUCGGGAAACCGGAGCUAAUACCGGAUAAUAUUUUGAACCGCAUGGUUCAAAAGUGAAAGACGGUCUUGCUGUCACUUAUAGAUGGAUCCGCGCUGCAUUAGCUAGUUGGUAAGGUAACGGCUUACCAAGGCAACGAUGCAUAGCCGACCUGAGAGGGUGAUCGGCCACACUGGAACUGAGACACGGUCCAGACUCCUACGGGAGGCAGCAGUAGGGAAUCUUCCGCAAUGGGCGAAAGCCUGACGGAGCAACGCCGCGUGAGUGAUGAAGGUUUUCGGAUCGUAAAACUCUGUUAUUAGGGAAGAACAUAUGUGUAAGUAACUGUGCACAUCUUGACGGUACCUAAUCAGAAAGCCACGGCUAACUACGUG